RNAcentral lists this ribosomal RNA (499 nucleotides) under Proteus vulgaris. Its description in RNAcentral is "bacterial SSU rRNA". It matches the Rfam family "Bacterial small subunit ribosomal RNA", at positions 8 to 499 of the family's 1533-position model. The record is from RNAcentral. Lineage: Bacteria; Pseudomonadati; Pseudomonadota; Gammaproteobacteria; Enterobacterales; Morganellaceae.
AGAGUUUGAUCCUGGCUCAGAUUGAACGCUGGCGGCAGGCCUAACACAUGCAAGUCGAGCGGUAACAGGAGAAAGCUUGCUUUCUUGCUGACGAGCGGCGGACGGGUGAGUAAUGUAUGGGGAUCUGCCCGAUAGAGGGGGAUAACUACUGGAAACGGUGGCUAAUACCGCAUGACGUCUACGGACCAAAGCAGGGGCUCUUCGGACCUUGCGCUAUCGGAUGAACCCAUAUGGGAUUAGCUAGUAGGUGAGGUAAAGGCUCACCUAGGCGACGAUCUCUAGCUGGUCUGAGAGGAUGAUCAGCCACACUGGGACUGAGACACGGCCCAGACUCCUACGGGAGGCAGCAGUGGGGAAUAUUGCACAAUGGGCGCAAGCCUGAUGCAGCCAUGCCGCGUGUAUGAAGAAGGCCUUAGGGUUGUAAAGUACUUUCAGCGGGGAGGAAGGUGAUAAAGUUAAUACCUUUAUCAAUGACGUACCCGCAGAGAGACCGAUGCAA